RNAcentral lists this unclassified non-coding RNA (378 nucleotides) under plant metagenome. Its description in RNAcentral is "partial contains 5.8S ribosomal RNA, internal transcribed spacer 2, and large subunit ribosomal RNA". The stretch from base 1 to 105 matches the Rfam family "5.8S ribosomal RNA", at positions 50 to 154 of the family's 154-position model. The record is from RNAcentral.
GAAAUGCGAUAAGUAAUGUGAAUUGCAGAAUUCAGUGAAUCAUCGAAUCUUUGAACGCACCUUGCGCUCCUUGGUAUUCCUUGGAGCAUGCCUGUUUGAGUAUCAUGAAAUCUUCAAAGUAAAUCUUUUGUUAACUCAAUUGGUUUCUACUUUGGUAUUGGAGGUCUUUGCAGCUUCACACCUGCUCCUCUUUGUUCAUUAGCUGGAUCUCAGUGUUAUGCUUGGUUCCACUCGGCGUGAUAAGUUAUCUAUCGCUGAGGACACUGUAAAAGGUGGCCAAGGUAAAUGCAGAUGAACCGCUGCUAAUAGUCCAUUGACUUGGACAAUACUUUUAUGAUCUGACCUCAAAUCAGGUAGGACUACCCGCUGAACUUAAGC